UACGAAGGGUGCAAGCGUUACUCGGAAUUACUGGGCGUAAAGCGUGCGUAGGUGGUUCGUUAAGUCUGAUGUGAAAGCCCUGGGCUCAACCUGGGAAUGGCAUUGGAAACUGGCGAUCUAGAGUGCGGUAGAGGGUAGUGGAAUUCCCGGUGUAGCAGUGAAAUGCGUAGAGAUCGGGAGGAACAUCUGUGGCGAAGGCGGCAUCCUGGACCAAUACUGACACUGAGGAGCGAAAGCCAGGGGAGCAAACGGG
RNAcentral lists this ribosomal RNA (253 nucleotides) under uncultured bacterium. Its description in RNAcentral is "partial 16S ribosomal RNA". It matches the Rfam family "Bacterial small subunit ribosomal RNA", at positions 524 to 776 of the family's 1533-position model. The record is from RNAcentral.